GAUGAACGCUAGCGGCAGGCUUAACACAUGCAAGUCGAGGGGUAUAGUUCUUCGGAACUAGAGACCGGCGCACGGGUGCGUAACGCGUAUGCAAUCUACCUUUCACAGAGGGAUAGCCCAGAGAAAUUUGGAUUAAUACCUCAUAGUAUUAUAGAAUGGCAUCAUUUUAUAAUUAAAGUCACAACGGUGAAAGAUGAGCAUGCGUCCCAUUAGCUAGUUGGUAAGGUAACGGCUUACCAAGGCAACGAUGGGGUAGGGGUCCUGAGAGGGGAGAUCCCCCCACACUGGUACUGAGACACGGACCAGACUCCUACGGGGUGGCUG
This 324-nucleotide ribosomal RNA is filed under the name uncultured Bacteroidota bacterium. Its description in RNAcentral is "bacterial SSU rRNA". It matches the Rfam family "Bacterial small subunit ribosomal RNA", at positions 28 to 351 of the family's 1533-position model. The record is from RNAcentral. Lineage: Bacteria; Pseudomonadati; Bacteroidota.